Molecule: non-coding RNA, 342 nt
Organism: Pelobates cultripes (western spadefoot toad)
Lineage: Eukaryota; Metazoa; Chordata; Amphibia; Anura; Pelobatidae
Source: the annotation of a GenBank genome assembly
GGUGAAGGGGUGACCUGAACGGCUGUGAUAAAAAACUAUAUGACAUAGUCUUGUAUCGUCUGGAGAACCCAGGUGACUUUGGUAGUCGUCUCCCAAAACUGUAAAAUAGAGACAGGUUGCCGGUCAUAAAAUUGGAAACAGUUAGUUAUGUAGGUUGACUCACUAGUAGAUGAAGCGGAUGAGGUCCUUAGUGUAGUAGAUGGGAGAAAUAUGAGGACUGUGUAUACGAUCUGGACCCUGUCGCCCAGAAGCGGCUGGUGGCUCGGUUCCGUUACCGACCAGCCCUCCCAAAAACACCUUUCCCCGUAGGGGUGUGGAAGACUUGUUUUAGCGAGGUCUGGG